RNAcentral lists this ribosomal RNA (503 nucleotides) under uncultured bacterium. Its description in RNAcentral is "partial 16S ribosomal RNA". It matches the Rfam family "Bacterial small subunit ribosomal RNA", at positions 30 to 523 of the family's 1533-position model. The record is from RNAcentral.
AUUGAACGCUGGCGGCAGGCCUAACACAUGCAAGUCGAGCGGUAACACAGGGAGCUUGCUCCUGGGUGACGAGCGGCGGACGGGUGAGUAAUGUCUGGGAAACUGCCUGAUGGAGGGGGAUAACUACUGGAAACGGUAGCUAAUACCGCAUAACGUCGCAAGACCAAAGAGGGGGACCUUCGGGCCUCUUGCCCUCAGAUGUGCCCAGAUGGGAUUAGCUAGUAGGUGGGGUAAUGGCUCACCUAGGCGACGAUCCCUAGCUGGUCUGAGAGGAUGACCAGCCACACUGGAACUGAGACACGGUCCAGACUCCUACGGGGGCAGCAGUGGGGAAUAUUGCACAAUGGGCGCAAGCCUGAUGCAGCCAUGCCGCGUGUAUGAAGAAGGCCUUCGGGUUGUAAAGUACUUUCAGCGGGGAGGAAGGCGAUAAGGUUAAUAACCUUGUCGAUUGACGUUACCCGCAGAAGAAGCACCGGCUAACUCCGUGCCAGCAGCCGCGGUAA